This is a long non-coding RNA of Oncorhynchus tshawytscha (Chinook salmon), 1037 nucleotides long. The record is from Ensembl. Lineage: Eukaryota; Metazoa; Chordata; Actinopteri; Salmoniformes; Salmonidae.
GUGGUGUAAAGAGAGAAGAAGAGAGGUGGUGUAAAGAGAGAAGAAGAGAGAGGUGGUGUAAAGAGAGAAGAAGAGAGAGGUGGGGUAAAGAGAGGAGAGGAAGAGAGAAAAAAGACAUGCCACAGCAUCAGAGAAACGUGAAGGAAAAGGAGCAAAAUGAGGAGAGGAGGGGGGGGAGUUGUAGGACUUGAGGUUUAUGCAACACACGGCCUGGCCUCGGCCUCGCAGCGAGCCUCCCCUCACCUCAGCACCCCAGAUACACACACGCAUGCACACCACAGGAGGUUGGUGGCACCUUAAUUGGGGAGGACAGGCUCGUGGUAAUGGCUGGAGUGGAACAGGUGGAAUGGUAUCAAAUACAUAACAUCAAACGCAUGGUUUCCAUUCGCUCUGUUCUGGGGCAUUAGUAUGAGCCCCUCAGCCCCUAUAUCUAUGAUCUGCUGGGGAGAAUCAAUUUGAGUAACUAUUUGAUUUUAGUUGCAAAUUACUUCAUAACACCUGCAGGUAUACAGACCAAGAUCUCGUGGUUUUACCAACCUGACUUCAGUAUCUGACAUUUAUCCACAGUUCUCCAAACGUUUACAUUUUGAUGUUAAUGGUUACAUUUUGGAUAAGGUAAAAAAAUAUAUAUUUACAAAAAUGUGUUUCUACCACUGGGAGUGAGCACAUGACCUUCAGAUCAGGAGUGAUGUGAUUAAAACAAAGAACGAGUUUCUACCACUAGGAUUGAACACGUGACCUUUGGUUCUGGAGAUUUUGCAACGCCACACACACACACACACACACAACCACACAGAACGAAUGGCCAUGCAAUGUAAUCGUAGCGAUACCAACAAUGCUACUGUAAAUAAACACACACAUACAUACACACACACACACACACAACCACACAGAAUGAAUGGCCCUGCUAUGUAAUCGUAGCGAUACCCACAAUGCUACUGUAAAUAAACAGACACAUCCAUACAUACACACACACACAUUCCUGAAACAAGAUAGUUUAUAAUGCAUACAUAUACACUCAUGCUGUGCCAACUGAG